Molecule: ribosomal RNA, 492 nt
Filed under: uncultured bacterium
Lineage: Bacteria
Description: bacterial SSU rRNA
Rfam family: Bacterial small subunit ribosomal RNA
Source: RNAcentral
AGUGAACGCUGGCGGCAGGCCUAAUACAUGCAAGUCGAACGGCAGCACAGCAGAGCUUGCUCUGUGGGUGGCGAGUGGCGGACGGGUGAGGAAUACAUGGGAAUCUGCCCAGUCGUGGGGGAUAACGUAUGGAAACGUACGCUAAUACCGCAUGCGCCCUUCGGGGGAAAGCCGGGGACCUUCGGGCCUGGCGCGAUUGGAUGAGCCCAUGUCGGAUUAGCUAGUUGGCGGGGUAAAGGCCCACCAAGGCGACGAUCCGUAGCUGGUCUGAGAGGAUGAUCAGCCACACUGGGACUGAGACACGGCCCAGACUCCUACGGGAGGCAGCAGUAGGGAAUAUUGGACAAUGGGCGCAAGCCUGAUCCAGCCAUGCCGCGUGAGUGAAGAAGGCCCUCGGGUUGUAAAGCUCUUUUGUCCGGAAAGAAAAGCAUUCGGUUAAUACCCGAGUGUUCUGACGGUACCGGAAGAAUAAGCACCGGCUAACUUCGUGCC